RNAcentral lists this ribosomal RNA (1784 nucleotides) under Vibrio splendidus. Its description in RNAcentral is "partial 23S ribosomal RNA". It matches the Rfam family "Bacterial large subunit ribosomal RNA", at positions 393 to 2162 of the family's 2925-position model. The record is from RNAcentral. Lineage: Bacteria; Pseudomonadati; Pseudomonadota; Gammaproteobacteria; Vibrionales; Vibrionaceae.
UCAUAAUCAGUGAAAACGAGUAGGGCGGGACACGUGAUAUCCUGUCUGAAUAUGGGGGGACCAUCCUCCAAGGCUAAAUACUACUGACUGACCGAUAGUGAACCAGUACCGUGAGGGAAAGGCGAAAAGAACCCCUGUGAGGGGAGUGAAAUAGAACCUGAAACCGUGUACGUACAAGCAGUAGGAGCACCUUCGUGGUGUGACUGCGUACCUUUUGUAUAAUGGGUCAGCGACUUAAUUUUAGUAGCAAGGUUAACCGUUUAGGGGAGCCGUAGGGAAACCGAGUCUUAACUGGGCGUACAGUUGCUAGGAUUAGACCCGAAACCAGGUGAUCUAGCCAUGGGCAGGUUGAAGGUUGAGUAACAUCAACUGGAGGACCGAACCGACUAAUGUUGAAAAAUUAGCGGAUGACUUGUGGCUAGGGGUGAAAGGCCAAUCAAACCUGGAGAUAGCUGGUUCUCCCCGAAAGCUAUUUAGGUAGCGCCUCGGACGAAUACUACUGGGGGUAGAGCACUGUUAAGGCUAGGGGGUCAUCCCGACUUACCAACCCUUUGCAAACUCCGAAUACCAGUAAGUACUAUCCGGGAGACACACGGCGGGUGCUAACGUCCGUCGUGGAGAGGGAAACAACCCAGACCGCCAGCUAAGGUCCCAAAGUAUAGCUAAGUGGGAAACGAUGUGGGAAGGCUCAGACAGCCAGGAUGUUGGCUUAGAAGCAGCCAUCAUUUAAAGAAAGCGUAAUAGCUCACUGGUCGAGUCGGCCUGCGCGGAAGAUGUAACGGGGCUAAGCUAUACACCGAAGCUGCGGCUACGUACCUUAGGGUAUGUGGGGUAGGGGAGCGUUCUGUAAGCCGUUGAAGGUGGUCUGUAAGGGCUGCUGGAGGUAUCAGAAGUGCGAAUGCUGACAUGAGUAACGAUAAAGGGAGUGAAAAACUCCCUCGCCGGAAGACCAAGGGUUCCUGUCCAACGUUAAUCGGGGCAGGGUAAGUCGACUCCUAAGGCGAGGCCGAAAGGCGUAGUCGAUGGGAAACGGGUUAAUAUUCCCGUACUUCUUACAAUUGCGAUGGGGGGACGGAGAAGGCUAGGUGGGCCUGGCGACGGUUGUCCAGGUUCAAGUAUGUAGGCGGAAAGUUUAGGUAAAUCCGGACUUUCAUUAACGCUGAGAUACGAUGUCGAGCUACUACGGUAGUGAAGUCAUUGAUGCCAUGCUUCCAGGAAAAGCCUCUAAGCUUCAGAUUGUAAGGAAUCGUACCCCAAACCGACACAGGUGGUCGGGUAGAGAAUACCAAGGCGCUUGAGAGAACUCGGGUGAAGGAACUAGGCAAAAUGGUACCGUAACUUCGGGAGAAGGUACGCUCUUAUCAGUGAAGUCCCUUGCGGAUGGAGCAGACGAGAGUCGCAGAUACCAGGUGGCUGCAACUGUUUAUUAAAAACACAGCACUGUGCAAAAUCGUAAGAUGACGUAUACGGUGUGACGCCUGCCCGGUGCCGGAAGGUUAAUUGAUGGGGUUAGACUUCGGUCGAAGCUCUUGAUCGAAGCCCCGGUAAACGGCGGCCGUAACUAUAACGGUCCUAAGGUAGCGAAAUUCCUUGUCGGGUAAGUUCCGACCUGCACGAAUGGCGUAAUGAUGGCCACGCUGUCUCCACCCGAGACUCAGUGAAAUUGAAAUCGCUGUGAAGAUGCAGUGUACCCGCGGCUAGACGGAAAGACCCCGUGAACCUUUACUACAGCUUGGCACUGAACAUUGAACCUACAUGUGUAGGAUAGGUGGGAGACUAUGAAA